This 484-nucleotide unclassified non-coding RNA is filed under the name Hevea brasiliensis (rubber tree). The record is from RNAcentral. Lineage: Eukaryota; Viridiplantae; Streptophyta; Magnoliopsida; Malpighiales; Euphorbiaceae.
GAUGGAAAAAUCCUUUAUGGGAGUGAUGGAUCUUCUACACUGUAUCAGAUUGACCCUCAAACUAUGAAAGGUUUUGUCGUCUGAAGUAGUUAAGAAACAAAUCGUAAAUUAUCAAGGUGAUGAAGUACACAGACUCAAUGAACUAGAGUAUGUUUAUGACGAAGUUUGGGCGAAUGUUUGGAUGACUGACUGUAUAGCUAGAAUAUCACAAACUGAUGGCUCAGUUCUUGGAUGGAUUCUUCUCCCCAAUCUGAGAGAAGGAUUGCUACACAAUUUGAAAAAGCAAAUUGACGUGCUGAAUGGCAUAGCAUGGGAUAGGGAUGGUGACCGUCUUUUUGUCACAGGCAAAUUAUGGCCGAAGCUUUAUGAGAUUAAGUUGCACCCUUUGAAGACACCAUUCAACGGAGACAUCAAGCAGAUGUGCAUGCCCCCGGCAUUUCCAUUUUCAUGAUCCCUGCAGUGGAUUUUUCUUUUUCAAAUUCUG